RNAcentral lists this unclassified non-coding RNA (918 nucleotides) under Hevea brasiliensis (rubber tree). Lineage: Eukaryota; Viridiplantae; Streptophyta; Magnoliopsida; Malpighiales; Euphorbiaceae. The record is from RNAcentral.
GGAUCACCUGGUGUAAGAACACACCUGGAAAAAUUACAGUUUUAACAAAUUGGACUGAAUAAUGGUAUUUGAAUAUAAAGAAAGCAUAAAGGAAUGUUUGCAUGAGAAUAUAAAUAAGCUUAGAGAUGAAUAUAAACACAAGUCAUUUUGCUAAUGUAAUUCGGGUAACCUUGUAGUUUCGGUCCCAAGCGCACCUUGGAAAAGAAAAAGGCAAAAAAGACAAUUCAUUUUGGUUCCACACAAUGAUAGUAAAAAAAAUUGGACCCCCAGAAUAUGUAAUGUAUAAGGCUUAUAGUUGAUACAGGGUCCUCUAUCAUUAGUUCAUUACCUUAAUUCUAAAUCAAGCCAUUCAAAUGGUAAAACAGUAACAUGAUGAUUUCUUACUACAAAACAUCAACUGCAAAAAUUAGAUGAAGAUCAGGACAUGGCACACAAACCAACAACCAAAUGUUUGGGCUUGAAGCAUAGUACUGUAUUACAGGCUUAUUUAUGUCUUCAAUGGAUGAAUAUUUCUUUCUUUUUUUUUUUUUGAACUCUACUUUCCUUGCAGAGGCAAACUUGAUUUAUCUGUACUGAAAGUUACAGGUUCCUUCACAUCUAUGGGUAUAUCUUUAGCUUCUAAUGAAUAAAAUCUCUAGUGCCAUAAAAAAUCUAUACACCCUGAAGGAUAAUUAAAAACGGACAAGCACAUAGUACAGAAUCAUUCACAAACAGAAUCCUACAGCAGUGACCAUGAACCAUCCAACUGUUCAGCCACUGCUGAUAUAUGAAGUAGAUUUCUUUGCCUGAGUGUAAAAGCAUAAAGUAAUUAUUGACAACAGUAACAUUUUUUUCCCUUACUGGAGCAAUGAACCUUGCCCUUCAAUAUAGUAAUCUUCUGGAGAGGUGAGUGCUAGGUCCGCAAAACAAGAAAAAUCA